RNAcentral lists this ribosomal RNA (378 nucleotides) under uncultured bacterium. RNAcentral describes it as "bacterial SSU rRNA". It matches the Rfam family "Bacterial small subunit ribosomal RNA", at positions 355 to 724 of the family's 1533-position model. The record is from RNAcentral.
UGGGGAAUAUUGGGCAAUGGGCGAAAGCCUGACCCAGCCACGCCGCGUGAGUGAUGAAGGCCUUCGGGUCGUAAAGCUCUGUGGGGAGGGACGAAUAAGUCGGUAGUUAAUAACUGCCGGCCCUGACGGUACCUCCUUAGCAAGCACCGGCUAACCAUGUGCCAGCAGCCGCGGUAAUACAGAGGGUGCGAGCGUUGUCCGGAAUCACUGGGCGUAAAGGGCGCGUAGGCGGCUUGAUAAGGUUGCGGUGAAAGCCCGGGGCUCAACCCCGGGUCGGCCGUGGCAACUGUCGAGCUGGAGCACUGUAGAGGCAGGUGGAAUUCCGGGUGUAGCGGUGGAAUGCGUAGAGAUCCGGAAGAACACCGGUGGCGAAGGCGG